Molecule: long non-coding RNA, 1859 nt
Organism: Peromyscus leucopus (white-footed mouse)
Lineage: Eukaryota; Metazoa; Chordata; Mammalia; Rodentia; Cricetidae
Exons: 5
Source: RefSeq, a predicted model, not a curated record
CUGGAGUGAGGUGAGUUCCUUCAAAUGCACAAAAAUGGGAUCAGAUUUGAGAAAACAAGAAGGGAUAACUGGAAAGGGGUUAGAGCAGAGGAACUGGUCUGGAAGGAAAUCUCUACCCCUCAGUCUGUCAAAGGCCCUCUACCACCUGGCUUCCUUUAUCUCUGGACUUUGUGAGAUGGCUACUCUCAAGCUGGAACACCGUUUGUACCACCCAUGAACUCUUGUUCCUGCUAUCCCAUCCUGCCUAGUGCCCAGGUACCAUCUGCUUUAAUCAGAGUCUUGAAAACUGAACCCAACUGUAAGUAUUUCAUACUUUGGGCUGUAUUUCCACACUCGUGAUAACAAGUUAUCAUUUGUUGUACAACUGUAUGUUCCUAGUGCUACACCUGGCGUCUUCAUGAUCCCUACUUAAUCCGUACAAACCUCAGGCAGGAAUUAUCACAUCUGUUUAUAGGUAGGUAAUCUCAAGACCAGAGCUGUGACACAGUUCAAGUAAGGUCGCCCACCUGGAGCUAUCAGGGUCAGCAUCCAAACACUUUUAUUUUCCUGUCACCAAAACCUGUGCUUCUAGAGACUACAAUAGUCUUAAUUUGGGGCAUAAUCAUUUAGCCAAACAACAUUUAAGGAGAGUCUAUAUGGAUGCCAGUCAAUAAGCUAUAUUCUAAGGCCCAAUAAUUAAAAUGAUUCUUACAAUAUAAUAAUAUAGGAAUAUUAAGUAAAGAAAUAUACAAAGAGUUUAAGGCUUCUCAAAGACAACGUAUCACAGCAGGCUUGCAGGGUAUAUGGAAGUUUCUUAGGUCAACUCAAAGGUACAGCAUUAUAUAUGUCCAUGGAGUGUUCACAAUUCUUCAGCAGCAUUCUAGAAGCAUUGCCAAGAACAGGGUAGGAGGUUACCUUUGUCAAGUGGGGGCUAGAAGCUAUUGAAGGUUACUUGAAGCCACAGAAGGACUUCAAAGUGGAAGAUGAUUAGAUCAUGUGCCCUGAAGCGUGCAAAUUGAAUCCUCUGCAAACCAGUCCAAUGGCUUUAUCCAGAGCUCUAUGCUGCGUGAUGAUAGUAUCCUUAGAGAAUGAAGGAAUAUGUGUUAUCCUUAUUCUUUUACAGGGGUUUUGAUGAUCUGAGGUAAAGCAUCGUUUUGAAGCCAUCAUUUAUUUUAUUCUGAGAUUAAAGCAUUAAUAAGAAGCUUGGAGUCUAGUGGAAUGACAAGACCAGGGCCACUGCAUGCUGAGAGUCUGCAGUUCAGCAGGAGAGACUGGCAUUACUUUUGCAGGAAGUGGAGCAACAAGGUGGAGUCUGGGGAACAGAACCAAGCCUACAGGUCAAGGAGAGAGUAGAAAGCCGAGAGGUGCUCCAUGAAGAUGGAAGGGUAAGUAAGACACGCUCUCUCUUUGCAAAUAAUUUAUAACCUAGUACAGAUGAAACAGUAUAAACUCUGUAAUAAUUACCAGUGGUCUCAGUUAGUGAAUAAGCAUGGCAAUUACCCAGUGGGAAAGAAUCCCAGCAGGAGGCCAGCAUUAGAAGACAUGAGAUGGGCUCCUGUGCUGAGAGAAGCCUGGGAACAGUAGCUGAACUCCCAGCUGAGUCUGGAGGAAGGGUGGGAUUCAAAACUAGAGGAGAGAAGAAAGCUUGUUGUGCCUGUGGGAAAACAUGAGAAAGAACACCAGAACAAUUGAAGUAGAGACCACCUGACAGCUGCAAGGACAGAAGGACAGCUGGACAGCUGGACAGCUGCAAAGACAGAGGUUGCUAUCAGGCCGAAGUUUGUAGCCAGGACAGAUAUUGCCCCCUAGAGACUGUAGACAAUGCCCCAAUGUCUGGAAUUAUUAUUAUUAUUAUUAUUAUUAUUAUUAUUAUUAUUAUA